AUGCCCGUGCUGCCGCCGCUCGCCGCGCCGCUGCUCUGGCCACAUCCGCGUCUUCCUCCGCCACCGCCCACCGCCUUCUCCUCCUGGAACUGCCAAACGAAGAGUAGGCUCUUGCAACCGGGGCUCUUCGCCACCGGCGCCGACGUCCCCGGCCGCGGAGGCCCGCUCCCGGAACCAGAGCAGCGCGCCCCGCUCCUCCUCGCCGCUCUCCGCGCCACUCGCCUCAGGGACGAAGAAUCACGCCGCCCAGAUCCCCUUUUUAUUGAUCCAUAUGCUGCUGUGCUACUUUCACUUGAUGUGGCAGAUCAAACUUCGGAAUCUCUCGUCUCUCAUUUAAUGCCAUCUGCAGAGCAUUAUAGGCUAACUACUAGAUAUCUUGAUGACACAUUGCAACAUUUGAUAAGCAGGUCAGACAAUUUUAGACAGAUUGUUUUGUUGACAGAUGGAAUGGACACUCGCCCAUAUAGGCUUAGCUGGCCAAAGAUGUCUAUCAUGUAUGAUGUAUCACCUGGAAGAAUCUUCAGUACAGCAGCCCAGCAACUCCGAGGAGCAGGAGCAAAAAUACCGCGGAACUGUGUUCUCUUUCAUACUCCUUUAGAGUCUCCUGAUUUACAAGAGGGCCUGUGCAAAAAUGGCUUCAAUGGAAAUAGGCCAAGCUUGUGGGCAUUGCAGGGUUUACCUUUGCCCUCUUCUUCAAGCUUCAAAAGCCUUUUGCUCGUUAUAAGCAAUUUAGCAAUGAAGGGGGGUAUCUUCAUAGGAGAGGUGCCACAUUUUCCAGACUGGACGGCAGCAGCAGACAUGGUCUCCGAACAAGACAGGCUAGAAAACCUUUUCUUUACCCAGGGUUUCCGGGUUAGCUUUGUUCUCUAUGAAAAUGUUGCAAAGGAUUUCGGCUUAGAUCUAGCUCCUCAAAGGGAACAAUGUGGUAGAGUUCUUUUUGUUGCAGAACAGCUGCGGUUUUCAGAUGCACAGAUGGAGAGCUUCUGGACGCAUUUUGAAAGAACAGAGGAGGACGCUGAUGAAGAAGGAUUCGAGGAACUUUAG
RNAcentral lists this ribosomal RNA (1044 nucleotides) under Triticum aestivum (bread wheat). RNAcentral's name for it is "partial small subunit ribosomal RNA". Lineage: Eukaryota; Viridiplantae; Streptophyta; Magnoliopsida; Poales; Poaceae. The record is from RNAcentral.